UUAAGGAAUUGACGGGACCGCACAAGCGGUGGAUGAUGUGGUUAAUUCGAUGCAACGCGAAAACCUUACCACCUUUGACAUGUACGGAAUCCUUUAGAGAUAGAGGAGUGCUCGAAAGAGAGCCGUAACACAGGUGCUGCAUGGCUGUCGUCAGCUCGUGUCGUGAGAUGUUGGGUUAAGUCCCGCAACGAGCGCAACCCUUGUCAUUAGUUGCUACAUUCAGUUGGGCACUCUAAUGAGACUGCCGGUGACAAACCGGAGGAAGGUGGGGAUGACGUCAAGUCCUCAUGGCCCUUAUAGGUGGGGCUACACACGUCAUACAAUGGAUGGUACAAAGGGUCGCCAACCCGCGAGGGGGAGCCAAUCCCAUAAAGCCAUUCGUAGUCCGGAUCGCAGUCUGCAACUCGACUGCGUGAAGUCGGAAUCGCUAGUAAUCGUGGAUCAGAAUGUCACGGUGAAUACGUUCCCGGGUCUU
Molecule: ribosomal RNA, 475 nt
Filed under: uncultured Acidovorax sp.
Lineage: Bacteria; Pseudomonadati; Pseudomonadota; Betaproteobacteria; Burkholderiales; Comamonadaceae
Description: bacterial SSU rRNA
Rfam family: Bacterial small subunit ribosomal RNA
Source: RNAcentral